Molecule: RNA transcript, 2255 nt
Organism: Triticum dicoccoides
Lineage: Eukaryota; Viridiplantae; Streptophyta; Magnoliopsida; Poales; Poaceae
Gene name: putative FBD-associated F-box protein At3g50710
Exons: 5
Source: RefSeq, a predicted model, not a curated record
CCCCAUUCCCCAUUUCCCCAUCCGUGCGAGUGCGCCGGCGGCCAGGAGCGGCGGGUGGAGCAUUGCGGCCAAAUCUGCCGCCCCGCUAGCCGCCGGCCAUGGAGGCCGCCGCAGCGCCAGCGGCACCCGUCCCCGACCAGGGGGGUUCCCAGUGGACCGCAUCGAAGACGGCACGGAGGCGCGACUCCGACGAGAGCGCCGCCGAUUUCAUCAGCAGGGUCCCCGACGCCGUCCUCUGCACCAUCAUCUCCCUCCUCCCCACCAAGGACGGCGGCCGCACGCAGGUCUUCUCCCGCCGAUGGCGCCCCCUGUGGCGCUCCGCCCCUCUCAACCUCGAGGUCCGCGUCCCAUACCCCGGCCGCGGCGUCCGCACCUCCUCCGUCGCCCCCGAUGUCGUCCCCAAGGUAAUCUCGCAGCAUCCUGGUCCCGCCCGCCGAUUCUGCUUCCACGGCCUCCGCCCCGGCGACCUCCACGACCAGGCGGAGAGCUGGUUCCGCUCCCGGGCCCUCGCCAACCUUGAGGUGCUCGAAGUCGGCUACAAGGUCCACGGUGAAAAAGAGUUAGAAGAACUUAUUCUGGCGAGAAUUUCCCUGCCGCCAUCCGCCUUUCGCUCUGCAUCUACCCUCCUCGUUGCCGAGAUCGGCUACUGUGAUUUGCCCCGAGAGAUGGUGCCGUCCAUGGGCUUUGACCUCCUCGAGCUUCUCUCCUUGAUCUCCGUUUCCAUCUCAGUGGAGGUCUUCCGCGGACUGCUCUCUGCUUGCCGUGCCUUGAAGAGCUUACACAUGUCCGGAGUUCGUGGUGCUAGUUGCCUCCAUGUUCGCUCGCCGACUCUUAGGAGUAUAUGCUUCCGUGACAGCUCUGGUAAAGUAGAGCUUGUCAUCGAGGAUGCGCCUCGCCUUGUGAGGUUACUAAUGCCUUUUGGUUCCCGAGAUGAUUGUGGUACUAUCCGGGUAAUUUCUGCGCCUAAACUGGAGAUAUUGGGCCCUUUGUUACCUGUUGUCUCCAAGCUCCUAGUCUCCCAGGGAAUAAGUUCAGCCGGCUCGGGAAACUCGAUGUAUACCGUGAAGAUUUUGGCUCUCAGGUGUUCUGGAUAUGAAUUGGAUGGAGUUCUUAAUAUCCUUAGGAGGUUCCCCUGUCUUGAGAAGCUCUAUGUUAUUUUUCACAAACACAAAGAGAUGGAUAAGAAAAUUGAGCCUCAGUAUGACCGACUACAUCCAAUUGAAUGCCUUCAAACCCAUCUCAAAACAGUGGUGUUUGAAGUAUUCAUGAGCCAUGAUAAACAGCUUGAGUUUGCCAAGUUCUUUGUUUUGAAUGCAGAAGUGCUAAAGAAAAUUGAAUUUGAUGGAAUAUAUGGGGCCUACAACAGUAUAUCGCUGGCUUACCAACACAGGCUGCUAAGAGUGGAAAACAGAGCUUCUCGAGAUGCUCAAUUUGAAUUCAUGAAUAGACAUCGUGAUACUGAGAAACAUCUCAACAAGCAUAAUUUGUCAGUGGCUGACCCCUUCCAACAGCCAUAGACAGGGUUGAUGCCUGAAGAUUUCACUGUUCUUAGUGUCUUGUGAAAUAGUGCACUGUGGAAAAUUUCUGAUGGGCAGGGAUGCAAAAAUAUUACUUCCAAAAUUUGUAGCUGUUAAGUGGCUUUGGCCGGGCCGCUAAGGCUGAGCGCGGGCCUAUUUUUUCACUCUCAAGUAAAGGAUACCCGAGGCAUAUAUGGAAUUUGAAUGCAAAGGUGCUAAAAAAUAUGGAAUUUGAAGGAAUAUAUGGUGCCAAGGACAGUGUGUCGCUGGCUUACCAACGCACGCUGCUACGAGUGGAAAACAGAGCUUCUCGAGAUGCCCAAUUUGAAUUCAGGAGUAGACAUCGCAAUACUGCGAUUCAUCUCCACAGGCAUGUCCAUGAUUUGUCAGUGGCCGACCCCUUCGAACAGCCAUAGACAGGGUUGAUGCCUGAAGAUUGCGCUGUUCUUAGUGUCUUGUGCUUGUUUUGCAGGCGAUGUUGAUGUCAAAUGAUUUCACAGUCUUCCGCAUAGGCCUGCUCUUUUUCUAGUCUAAGGUUCCUCUGUAAUUCAAGUACCUUAUGAAGUUGCCCCUCUUAAAACUGCAAGAGAUGCUUUUAGAUGCAAAAAGAAUGCACUGUGGAAAAUUUCUGAUGGGGAGGGAUGCAAAAAAUAUGACUUUGAAUUUGUACCUGGAGACAGCUGGUAAGCACAAUUGUUUAUGGCUUUGUUCUGCCUAAGCUGUGCUAGGAACACAUCC